CAAAAAUAUUAUAUAAAAUAUAUACACGCUAGAUUUUCUCUUAAAAAAAUUUUACAUUUUUUUACACUGUUUUUUCUUUCGUUCUUUGUGGUUUGUGUGUGUGUGUGUGUGUGUGUAUGCAGCAAAGCGAAACAGUGAUAUUGGGAUUGCAGCAAAUGAAAGUGAAUCAUUUAUUGCAGGGCACCAAGCAAGGAGAAUCAGGCAGCUCAUGCUUAAGAUCCAAACUUCCUGAUGGCUUGUAAGCAAAGGUUUUUAAAAGCAGGGGAAAAUUUCAGGAAAGGAGAAGUUACAGGCAAAAUUGUAAAUGAAUACAUGGAGAUUAUACAUUGGUUUGGCCUUAGAAGAUGGAAUAUCUCGAAGCAGGGUUAGAGGGUGGUGCUUAGAGGUCCUAGGUAGAUUCAAAGAUUUUCUGAUUUGUAGUUGGUUGAGGAGGAGAAGCUUUCUUUAAAAAGCUGGGGUCAGCAGCAGAAGAUGUGAGCACUGCCUUGUGGGUGUGACUUCCUCCAGGCCUCUCAGGAAGAACUUCAGGACAAAGAAUGGUAGUCAAAGUGCAGUCCUCAGUUUGCCCCUUAGCUGAGGUCUACGUGCCAGCGGAUCCAUUUGGUGGGAGUUCUGAAAAACUCAGGGACAUAUGUUAAGUUGUUACGUAGGGAACCAACACCUUGUGACUCUAACUUCCUUGGCUAUUGUUUGAAGCUACUGUUAACUUUCUUUUUUUUUUUUUUUUUCUUUGAAAGCGGUUUUAAAAUAUUUUUGCUUUUUUACUUUUUUUUCUUUUUCAACUGUUAUUUUGGAAUUGAGGUUACGUGAAGUUCUGUCACAAAGGCGUAUUGCACGAUGCUAGUUGUGGGGUGUGCUUGGGCCUGUCAGCCGGGCAGUGAACAUAGUGUCC
This 892-nucleotide long non-coding RNA is filed under the name Homo sapiens (human). RNAcentral describes it as "HSALNT0224784". Lineage: Eukaryota; Metazoa; Chordata; Mammalia; Primates; Hominidae. The record is from RNAcentral.